Molecule: ribosomal RNA, 115 nt
Filed under: Bacillota bacterium
Lineage: Bacteria; Bacillati; Bacillota
Source: RNAcentral
CGGUGGCAAUAGCGGAGGGGAAACACCUGUUCCCAUUCCGAACACAGAAGUUAAGCCCUCCAGCGCCGAUGGUACUGCACUGGCAACGGUGCGGGAGAGUAGGUCGCUGCCGGAA